GGUGAGUAACACGUGGAUAACCUACCUAUAAGACUGGGAUAACUUCGGGAAACCGGAGCUAAUACCGGAUAAUAUUUUGAACCGCAUGGUUCAAAAGUGAAAGACGGUCUUGCUGUCACUUAUAGAUGGAUCCGCGCUGCAUUAGCUAGUUGGUAAGGUAACGGCCUACCAAGGCAACGAUGCAUAGCCGACCUGAGAGGGUGAUCGGCCACACUGGAACUGAGACACGGUCCAG
This 235-nucleotide ribosomal RNA is filed under the name uncultured Staphylococcus sp. RNAcentral's name for it is "partial 16S ribosomal RNA". It matches the Rfam family "Bacterial small subunit ribosomal RNA", at positions 105 to 334 of the family's 1533-position model. Lineage: Bacteria; Bacillati; Bacillota; Bacilli; Caryophanales; Staphylococcaceae. The record is from RNAcentral.